This 102-nucleotide Y RNA is filed under the name Propithecus coquereli (Coquerel's sifaka). Its description in RNAcentral is "Y RNA (ENSPCOG00000008117.1)". It matches the Rfam family "Y RNA". From Rfam's summary of the family: Y RNAs are components of the Ro ribonucleoprotein particle (Ro RNP), in association with Ro60 and La proteins. The Y RNAs and Ro60 and La proteins are well conserved, but the function of the Ro RNP is not known. Lineage: Eukaryota; Metazoa; Chordata; Mammalia; Primates; Indriidae. The record is from Rfam by way of RNAcentral.
GGUUGGUCCGAGUGCAGUGGUGUUUACAACUAAUUGAUCACAACCAGUUAUAGAUUCCUUUGUUCCUUCUCCACUCCCACUGCUUCACUUGAAUAGCCUUAA